GCUGCGGUAGCUCAGUGGUAGAGCACUCCAUUGGUAAUGGAGAGGUCGAGAGUUCAAUCCUCUCUCGCAGCA
Transfer RNA from Aureimonas sp. Leaf454, 72 nucleotides. It matches the Rfam family "tRNA". From Rfam's summary of the family: Transfer RNA (tRNA) molecules are approximately 80 nucleotides in length. Their secondary structure includes four short double-helical elements and three loops (D, anti-codon, and T loops). Further hydrogen bonds mediate the characteristic L-shaped molecular structure. tRNAs have two regions of fundamental functional importance: the anti-codon, which is responsible for specific mRNA codon recognition, and the 3' end, to which the tRNAs corresponding amino acid is attached (by aminoacyl-tRNA synthetases). tRNAs cope with the degeneracy of the genetic code in two manners: having more than one tRNA (with a specific anti-codon) for a particular amino acid; and 'wobble' base-pairing, i.e. permitting non-standard base-pairing at the 3rd anti-codon position. Lineage: Bacteria; Pseudomonadati; Pseudomonadota; Alphaproteobacteria; Hyphomicrobiales; Aurantimonadaceae. The record is from Rfam.